CUUUCUUUGUGCAAUGAUUAUUGCUCCUUGGGUUACAGCAAGAUCAAAAUAGAAGGGAAGCCAUUUUGCUGAUACAAAUGCCUUCGUUGCCCAAAAGGGAAAAUUGCCAACCAGACAGGUUUACAGGACUGUUUCCCAUGCCCUGAAGCAUACUAUCCUAACAAGAACCAGGAUCAGUGCAUUAAAAAACUCAGAACUUUCUUGUCUUACAAAGAA
This is a long non-coding RNA of Pantherophis guttatus, 216 nucleotides long. RefSeq lists it as uncharacterized. NCBI's taxonomy places the organism in Eukaryota, Metazoa, Chordata, Lepidosauria, Squamata, Colubridae. The record is from RefSeq and is a predicted model, not a curated record.